AAUAUUUUAAAACAGUGUUAAUCAUUUAUGAAACUAAAUUUUUUUAUGCAUUUCUGUCGGGAUACUUCUUUUCUAAGAGUUCCCCUCCCCUCUCUCAUUUUGUCUAGAAUUUUGUAAGAAUUUGGAUCCAUCUACAGCCCCUCAACUCAUAUGAGCUUUUAUUUUGAAUGUUCAAAAGACUGAUGGAGAAGGGAGCAGCCUUGAAGAUCUGGCCUUUGGUACUUCUCUUCCAUCCAACAUCUAGCCUCUCCGAAUGGAAGUUGUGACUAUUUACAAUGAAUACAGCUUGUUUGCCAACCAAGUACCUAUGAAAUUAAAUGCAUAUAGAUACUGUGAGCAUUUGCAAGAUAGUUGAUUUGCUCCAGUCAGGACAGUGGUUAGUUUUUCUUCCUGGUGGGGCAACAAUAACAAUUUCCUAUCUAGAAGGAAGCUCCCUGGGAUUAUUCACUCCUGGAAGAGUCUAGAAGAAUGUUGCUUGGAGUUGAUACACUGCAGAUAAGUGGCCUAAU
This 509-nucleotide long non-coding RNA is filed under the name Bos taurus (domestic cattle). RNAcentral describes it as "long non-coding RNA NONBTAT000650". Lineage: Eukaryota; Metazoa; Chordata; Mammalia; Artiodactyla; Bovidae. The record is from RNAcentral.